This 508-nucleotide ribosomal RNA is filed under the name uncultured bacterium. RNAcentral's name for it is "bacterial SSU rRNA". It matches the Rfam family "Bacterial small subunit ribosomal RNA", at positions 17 to 518 of the family's 1533-position model. The record is from RNAcentral.
UUAUGGCUCAGGAUGAACGCUGGCGGCGUGCCUAAUACAUGCAAGUCGAACGAGAGUGCUUGCACUCUAGUGGCGAACGGGUGAGUAACACGUAGGUAACCUGCCUUACAGUUUGGGAUACCCUGGCGAAAGCUAGGCUAAUACCGAAUAAUUGGAUUGGAGGCAUCUCCGAUCUCUAAAAGGGGCCUUUAAAGCCUCGCUGAAUGAUGGACCUGCGGCGCAUUAGCUAGUUGGUGAGAUAACAGCCCACCAAGGCGAGGAUGCGUAGCCGACCUGAGAGGGUGAACGGCCACACUGGAACUGAGACACGGUCCAGACUCCUACGGGAGGCAGCAGUAGGGAGUUUUCGGCAAUGGGGGCAACCCUGACCGAGCAACGCCGCGUGAAUGAAUGAAGGUCUUCGGAUUGUAAAGUUCUGUUAUAAGGGAAAAAUGAUAUGGUGAGGAAAUGCUCCAUAUUUGAUGGUACCUUAUUAGAAAGCCACGGCUAACUACGUGCCAGCCGCGGC